This 369-nucleotide ribosomal RNA is filed under the name uncultured bacterium. Its description in RNAcentral is "bacterial SSU rRNA". It matches the Rfam family "Bacterial small subunit ribosomal RNA", at positions 527 to 896 of the family's 1533-position model. The record is from RNAcentral.
GUAGGGUGCGAGCGUUAAUCGGAAUUACUGGGCGUAAAGCGUGCGCAGGCGGUUUUGUAAGUCAGAUGUGAAAUCCCCGGGCUUAACCUGGGAACUGCGUUUGAAACUACAAGGCUAGAGUGUGGCAGAGGGGGGUGGAAUUCCACGUGUAGCAGUGAAAUGCGUAGAGAUGUGGAGGAACACCGAUGGCGAAGGCAGCCCCCUGGGUUAACACUGACGCUCAGGCACGAAAGCGUGGGGAGCAAACAGGAUUAGAUACCCUGGUAGUCCACGCCCUAAACGAUGUCAACUAGUUGUCGGGUCUUAACGGACUUGGUAACGCAGCUAACGCGUGAAGUUGACCGCCUGGGGAGUACGGUCGCAAGAUUA